Molecule: small RNA, 175 nt
Rfam family: caulobacter sRNA CC2171
Source: Rfam
UAACAACUGAAAGGAGGUGAUCCAGUGUCUCAUUGUCAUCAACCGCUGUCGCGGGGACUGCAUGGCCUGGACUCGUCCCAUGAGGGGUUCGGUUCCGUUUGAGUUUUCGCGACGCUAGGCCCGGUUACCGGGGCUGCGGUUCGGCAAUGGAAGGGCUGCCCGCGAGGGCAGCCCU